This is a long non-coding RNA of Bubalus bubalis (water buffalo), 728 nucleotides long. RefSeq lists it as uncharacterized. The transcript has 2 exons. The record is from RefSeq and is a predicted model, not a curated record. NCBI's taxonomy places the organism in Eukaryota, Metazoa, Chordata, Mammalia, Artiodactyla, Bovidae.
AAGUGCGGAGGAAGGAGCAGGAAGAAUAAAGAGGCUGAUGAGGAGGGCAGAGGGGAGCUGAACAGUUAACUGUGUGGAGUUGCGGGAGCAAAUGAAAGGUCCUGGAUGGGAAGAGCAGUUCAUCGGAAAAACUAAAGAAGUGUUAGCAAGUCAGGGCUCUGAAAUCCCUGAGGAAUUUAGCUGCCUCGGGCUAAGCCCUGUUCUGUUUCUAAAAGCCGUGGGUUUCAGAGCAUGUCAGCUGCGGAAGGGAAUGGACUGGAAUCUGGGAGUGUGUCACAUGGGAGAAGACAAGAGUCAUUGCCAAGGAGUCCUCCACCUGGGAGGAGAGACCGAAUUUCAGCCUAAGGUGACAAAGCACUGAAGUGUUCCAAGGGAGAUGAAUGCAUAAGCCCGUGAGGAAGAGGAGAGAGUCAGUCAUGGCUGGAAGAGGAAGAAGGAGGUGCCCCAGCUGAACCAUAUGAAAGGACAUCUGACUUCUGGGAGGGGACAACAGGGGAAAUUUUGACAUGAGGCAUACUGGGAAGGAGGACUCUUUCUUUCUUUUUUUUUAACUGUGGAAUUCUGCCCCCACUGCCACACACAACCACAUAUGCACUCACACCUACGCAAACCACACACACAUACUCAUAUUCACACUUCUUUCCCCUAGUCCCAACUCUGUCUUUGCAUCAAAAUCACCCAGAGCUUUAAAUAAAAUACAGAUGCUGAGGCUUCUCAGAUAUACUAAA